GGGAGGUGGGGAGGGCAAACAGAAAAAGAUUGGACACACACACCCAUAUUCAGCCGUUUACCCUGCUGCAGAUGGCUGCAGCUCUGCCAAUUGAUGCCCUUCCCUAACAACCUUAAUUAUACAGCAGGACUUGAGCUCUACUUGUCAACAAGUGUGGGUUCAGAGUGAAGCCACAGCCCUUCACCCAGAGUGACAAGCCACCUGACUCAGCAAUCUGGCCCUGUUUACUGGCCCUGUCCACCGCAAUCAACAUGCCUGCAUCUAGCCUGUCUUUAAUUCCACUGGGGCAUGGGCAGUGCAGCGCUUUUAACCCUGUAAGUGCCCUCUCCUCUGUCCCCCCUCAUCAGAGUCAGAGUCCACACAGAGCUGUCACACAAAGGAUGGACACACACACACACACACAGGCAGGUCUGAUGGACACUCUUGGACCACACAGGAUGGCUAAUUCUAGCUGUGAGCGCUAUAAUGAAACUGUCUCUCAUGAGGACCGCCACAGGCAAGAGACCCAGAGUUACCUCUGUUGCAGAGGAUAAGUUCAUUAGAGUUACCAGUCUCAGAAAUUGUAGCCCAACUAAAUGCUUCAGAGUUCAAGUAACAGACACAUCUCAACAUCAAUUGUUCAGAGGAGACUGCAUGAAUCAGGCCUUCAUGGUUGAAUUGCUACAAAGAAACCACUACUAAAGGACACCAAUAAGAAGAAUAGACUUGCUUGAUCCAAGAAACACAAGUAAUCUGUCUUUUGGUCUGAUGAGUCCAAAUUUGGGAUUUUUGGUUCUAACCGCCAUGUCUUUUUUUUUUAAACCUUUUUUAAAAUUGUUUUACCCCCUUUUUCUCCCCAAUUUCGUGGUAUCCAAUUGUUAGUAGUUACUUUGUCUCAUCACUGCAACUCCCAUAAGGACUCGGGAGAGGCGACGGUCGAGAGCCAUGCGUCCUCCGAAACACAACCCAACCAAGCCGCACUGCUUCUUAACACAGCGUGCAUCCAACCCGGAAGCCAGCCGCACCAAUGUGUACACCGUACACCUAGCGACCUGGUCAGCGUGCACUGCGCCCAGCCUGCCACAGGCGUCGCUAGUGCGCGAUGAGACAAGAAUAUCCCUGCCGGCCAAACCCUCCCUAACCCGUAUGACACUGGGACAAUUGUGCGCCGCCCCCAUGGGCCUCCCAGUCGCGUCCGGCUGCGACAUAGCUCAACCGCCAUGUCUUUGUUAGAUCCAGAGUAGGUGAACAGCUGAUCUCUGCAUGUGUGGUUCCCACCGUGAAGCAUGUAGGAGGAGGUGUGAUGGUGUGGGGGUGCUUUGCUGGUGACACCUUCAGUGAUUUAUUUAGAAUUGAAGGCACACUUAACCAGAAUGGCUACCACAGCAUUCUGCAGUAAUAUGCCAUCCCAUCUGGUUUGCACUUAGUGGGACGAUAAUUUGUUGUUCAACAGGACAAAGACCCAACAUACCUCCAGACUCUAAGGGCUAUUUGACCAAGAAUGGGAGUGAUGGAGUGCUGUAUCAGAUGAACUGGCCUCCACAAUCACCCAAUAUCAACCCAAUUGAGAUGGUUUGUGAUGAGUUGGACCACAGAGUGAAGGCAAAGCAGCCAACAAGUGUUCAGCAUAUGUGGGAACUCCUUCAAGACUGUUGGAAAAGCAUUCCAGGUGAAGCUGGUUGAUAGAAUGCCAAAAGUGUGCAAAGCUGUCAUCAAGGCAGAGUGUCUACUUUAAAAUACAUGUUAAUACAUGAUGUUUAACACAAAGAAAAACUAGGUGUCCAACUUUUAACUGGUACUGUACAUAGUCACUUUAAUGUUUACAUACUGUUUUAUCCACUAUAUAUGUAUAUACUGUAUUUAUAAUUAACACAUCUUAACAAAACAUCUUUGCUGUAGGA
Oncorhynchus tshawytscha (Chinook salmon) is the source of this 1880-nucleotide long non-coding RNA. NCBI's taxonomy places the organism in Eukaryota, Metazoa, Chordata, Actinopteri, Salmoniformes, Salmonidae. The record is from Ensembl.